ACGUACACUCCUACGGGAGGCAGCAGUGGGGAAUUUUGGACAAUGGGCGCAAGCCUGAUCCAGCCAUGCCGCGUGCGGGAAGAAGGCCUUCGGGUUGUAAACCGCUUUUGUCAGGGAAGAAAAGGUUCUGGCUAAUACCUGGGACUCAUGACGGUACCUGAAGAAUAAGCACCGGCUAACUACGUGCCAGCAGCCGCGGUAAUACGUAGGGUGCAAGCGUUAAUCGGAAUUACUGGGCGUAAAGCGUGCGCAGGCGGUUAUGCAAGACAGAGGUGAAAUCCCCGGGCUCAACCUGGGAACUGCCUUUGUGACUGCAUGGCUAGAGUACGGUAGAGGGGGAUGGAAUUCCGCGUGUAGCAGUGAAAUGCGUAGAUAUGCGGAGGAACACCGAUGGCGAAGGCAAUCCCCUGGACCUGUACUGACGCUCAUGCACGAAAGCGUGGGGAGCAAACAGGAUUAGAAACCCCAGUAGUCCCAUGA
RNAcentral lists this ribosomal RNA (480 nucleotides) under uncultured organism. RNAcentral describes it as "partial 16S ribosomal RNA". It matches the Rfam family "Bacterial small subunit ribosomal RNA", at positions 329 to 800 of the family's 1533-position model. The record is from RNAcentral.